Molecule: long non-coding RNA, 1454 nt
Filed under: Piliocolobus tephrosceles (Ugandan red Colobus)
Lineage: Eukaryota; Metazoa; Chordata; Mammalia; Primates; Cercopithecidae
Description: lncRNA (ENSPTEG00000018979.1)
Source: RNAcentral
AAAGCAAAAAAUAAAGCAAAAAAUAAAGCAAAAAAUAAAACAAAAAAUAAAACAAAAAACAAAACAAAAAAUUAAGCAAAAAAUUAAGCAAAAAAUUAAGCAAAAAGUAAAGCAAAAAAUAAAACAAGGUAAAUUUUUGUAAAAAUUUAUUAUUAACGCAAUUAAAAAAAACCAUUAUUCAUAAAUAAAUUACAAACAAGAAUAUUAUGUGACAUCAUUUUACAUAAACACAUAUGUGUGUGUUAUAUGCAGCGUAAAAAAUAAAGUUACUAUUAUAAGCUAUAAAAAAAAUAAACAAAAAAUACCUUUUAUAGUUGCAUUAAAAAUUAAAAAAAGUGCAACAAAGGGAGUAAUAAAAAAUAAUAAAAAUAAUAUUUUUUUCUUUUUAAAUAAACCUAAACCCUAUUUUUUUAAAACUAUUACCAGUGGUAAUAACAGUAAUAGCAAUAAUAAGAACAAAAGCAGUAAUAACACCUAUUUGUGUUUAAAAAGGAAUAGUACAGUUUGUGCUAGUAAAGGUAGUAGUAAAAAAAAAAAAUAUAUUUUUUCGUUGAAUAGCCAAAAAUGUAGUGGAUAUCGAAAUACAAGAGAAGGUAAAGAAGAAACUGUUCGUAAAAUAAAAAGAAUUUUAAAAGUAACAAAACUAUUGAUCCAAUUAAAUAGUUUUAAAUUAACACCGAAUUUAAGAGUUGAUUUAUUAAUAAAUAUGCCCAGACCACAUGUACGUAUGCAUAUGGUUAAAAAUACUUUAAUGAAAUUAGCAAUAAAAAAUACUCCAUUUGAAGCCAUUAGUCCAUAUUUAAAAGAAAGUAAUGUAUAUUUAUUUAUUAUGAAUGAAAAUUAUAUAUCCUUUUGUCUUUAUAAAAAUAAAAUGUUCAGUUCAUUAUAUAAAGAAUAUAAAAUUAACAAUUUCAUAAAAGUUGCUAUUUAUGAAAAUACAAUUUUAAAUAAAAAAGAAACAGAAGAUCUUAUAAAUUUAAAAACAUACAAUUAUUAUUUGGGACAUGUCGUAAAUAAAAUUAAUAACUUAAUAACGAGUAUACCCAAUUCUAUUAUACAAAUACCUUCUGCUAUAGCUAGGGGAAUAUAUUUACACACUCAAAAGUGAAGCAACAAAUAGGGGCUCAAAAAAAAAAAAAAAAAAUGUAUAUGUGCUUACAUUCGUGGAUGUGCUUACAUUUAUGUAUACAUAUGUAUUUACGUUCAUGCUUUAUUCUUAUUAUUAAAUAUGCUUAGUCUAUAUAAAAAUGUAAAUUGUCACUUGACAAUAUUACACAAUUUCUGUUUAUUUUUAUUUUUAUUUUUUUGUUUUUGUUUUUUUAACAGUUAUUUUAAUACCUUACAGAACAGAAGUUUUAAUACAUAAUUGAUAAAAAAAUAUGUUAAUAUAAAACACUUUAAUAUAAAAUACUUUAAUAUAAAACACUUUAAUAUAAAAUACUUUAAUAUAAAAU